Molecule: ribosomal RNA, 265 nt
Filed under: uncultured archaeon
Lineage: Archaea
Description: partial 16S ribosomal RNA
Rfam family: Archaeal small subunit ribosomal RNA
Source: RNAcentral
ACACGACUACAUUAGAUACCCGGGUAGUCCCAGCCCAAAACGAUGCGCGUUAGGUGUAUCGGUGACCACGAGUCACCGAGGUGCCGAAGGGAAACCGUGAAACGUGCCGCCUGGGAAGUACGGUCGCAAGGCUGAAACUUAAAGGAAUUGGCGGGGGAGCACCACAACGGGUGGAGCCUGUGGUUUAAUUGGACUCAACGCCGGGAAGCUCACCGGAUAAGACAGCGGAAUGAUUGCCGGGCUGAAGACCCUGCAUGACCAGCUG